This is a long non-coding RNA of Osmia bicornis bicornis, 703 nucleotides long. RefSeq lists it as uncharacterized. The record is from RefSeq and is a predicted model, not a curated record. The transcript has 3 exons. Lineage: Eukaryota; Metazoa; Arthropoda; Insecta; Hymenoptera; Megachilidae.
UACAGCAACAAUAUAAUUGAAAUUAUUUCAAAUUAAGGGCUUGUUGGCGCAAAUUUAUACACUGCUCCACUUACAAGUGUUUAUUUAUUUAUAUUGCAGUUUUAUUUAUGUUUGUUAAAAUUGGAACAUAGUUUUACUACUUGUCGCUCUUUACAAAAGAGCCAAAAAGAGCGUUGGUUGUCUUUGGUUGUCUUCAAUAAAAGCAGAAUCAGUGAAUACAGAUGUAAAAGACUAUAAUUUUAUUUAUUUCUCUAUUUUGUAUCAUUUUUCAUAUAAAUUCAGUGUAUUAUUUGUAAUUCUAAAUUUAGAAGUAAGAAAAAUCGUAUUUUUGUUGAUGUAUCUUAAAUUCGACACCUUUCACUGUACAUAACCUCAAUAUCGUGACUUUACUAUUGCAAACAUUUUGAAGAAAUGUAAUUAAUAAUACUUCUAUUAACUGUUGAUUGUAAAAUUAGAAUUUCUUAAGCAAACUAAUUAAGAUGCAAUGAUUUCUCGUUGCUUCUAAAAAUUAGUUUGCAAUAGUAAAAUGAUGAUUUUUGAGGUAUAAUUUGGCCUAAUUUGUAAAGAAUGGAAGCAACAUUUAUAGAAGUGUCAGUAUCAUGGACUGUGGAUUUACCAAAAGAUUUUUAAUAUUAAUCAGAAGCUAAAUUUUUAAAAUGUAUAUUUAAUAACAUUUCUGCUUAAUAAAUGAUGUUCAAACGAA